GACGAACGCUGGCGGCGUGCUUAACACAUGCAAGUCGAACGGUAAGGCCCUUUCGGGGGUACACGAGUGGCGAACGGGUGAGUAACACGUGGGUGAUCUGCCCCAAACUUUGGGAUAAGCCUGGGAAACUGGGUCUAAUACCGGAUAUGACCAUGGGAUGCAUGUUCUGUGGUGGAAAGCUUUUGCGGUUUGGGAUGGGCCCGCGGCCUAUCAGCUUGUUGGUGGGGUAAUGGCCUACCAAGGCGACGACGGGUAGCCGGCCUGAGAGGGCGACCGGCCACACUGGGACUGAGACACGGCCCAGACUCCUACGGGAGGCAGCAGUGGGGAAUAUUGCACAAUGGGCGAAAGCCUGAUCCAGCAACGCCGCGUGAGGGAUGACGGCCUUCGGGUUGUAAACCUCUUUCAGCACAGACGAAGCGCAAGUGACGGUAUGUGCAGAAGAAGGACCGGCCAACUACGUGCCAGCAGCCGCCGUAACAC
This 483-nucleotide ribosomal RNA is filed under the name uncultured bacterium. Its description in RNAcentral is "bacterial SSU rRNA". It matches the Rfam family "Bacterial small subunit ribosomal RNA", at positions 28 to 526 of the family's 1533-position model. The record is from RNAcentral.